AGUUAGUUGGUGAGGUAAAGGCUCACCAAGGCGAUGAUGGUUAGGGGUCCUGAGAGGGUAGUCCCCCACACUGGUACUGAGACACGGACCAGACUCCUACGGGAGGCAGCAGUGAGGAAUAUUGGUCAAUGGGCGCUAGCCUGAACCAGCCAUGCCGCGUGCAGGAAGACGGCCCUACGGGUUGUAAACUGCUUUUCUGCAGGAAGAAUAUAUAGUCUUAGGGGUAUAUUGACGGUACUGCAGGAAUAAGCAUCGGCUAACUCCGUGCCAGCAGCCGCGGUAAUACGGAGGAUGCAAGCGUUAUCCGGAUUCAUUGGGUUUAAAGGGUGCGCAGGCUGUAAAGCAAGUCAGUGGUGAAAGCCCUGGGCUUAACUCAGGGAUUGCCAUUGAAACUGUUUCACUAGAGUGUAGUAGAGGACGGCGGAAUGAGUUGUGUAGCGGUGAAAUGCAUAGAUAUAACUCAGAACACCUAUUGCGUAGGCAGCUGUCUAUACUACAACUGACGCUGAGGCACGAAAGCGUGGGGAGCGAACAGGAUUAGAUACCCUGGUAGUCCACGCUGUAAACGAUGAUCACUCGUUGUUGGCUACUUAGUAGUCAGUGACCAAGGGAAACCGAUAAGUGAUCCACCUGGGGAGUACGUCGGCAACGAUGAAACUCAAAGGAAUUGACGGGGGCCCGCACAAGCGGAGGAACAUGUGGUUUAAUUCGAUGAUACGCGAGGAACCUUACCUGGGCUUAAAUGCUGGCUGCAUUGGAGGGAAACCUUCAUUUCCUACGGGACCGCCAGCAAGGUGCUGCAUGGUUGUCGUCAGCUCGUGCCGUGAGGUGUCGGGUUAAGUCCCAUAACGAGCGCAACCCCUAUCGCUAGUUGCCAGCAUGUAAUGGUGGGGACUCUAGCGAGACUGCCGGUGUAAACCGGAGGAAGCUGGGGAUGACGUCAAAUCAGCACGGCCCUUACGUCCAGGGCUACACACGUGUUACAAUGGCCGGUACAAAGAGCAGCCACCUGGCGACAGGGCGCUAAUCUCUAAAACCGGUCUCAGUUCGGAUCGAAGUCUGCAAUUCGACUUCGUGAAGGUGGAUUCGCUAGUAAUCGC
Molecule: ribosomal RNA, 1100 nt
Filed under: uncultured organism
Description: bacterial SSU rRNA
Rfam family: Bacterial small subunit ribosomal RNA
Source: RNAcentral